GUCCAAGGGCAGGAGAUGGGUGUCUCCCUCCAGAAAAGAGAAUUUGCUUGUCUUCUCCCUUUGUGUUCCAUCUGGGUCCCCAACCAAGUGGAUGUGCCUGCCCACGCUGAGGGCAGAUCUUCACUGAGUCCACUGAAAACAUCCUCACACACUCAGAAACAAUGCUUCGCCAGCUGCCAAGUACAGUGUGUGUGCCUUAGUCCCAGCUACUCAGGAGGCUAAGGUGGGAGAAACGCUUGAGCCUGGGAGCUGGAGGCUGCAGUAAGCCAUGAUUGUGCCAUUGCACUCCAGGCUGGCUGACAGAGAGAUCCUGCCUCAAAAAAAGAGAUAGAUAGAUAGAUAGAUAGAUAGAGCUCCACCAGCCAUCUAGGCUUUUUUUUUUUAAACAGGGUGUCACUCUGUCAACCAGGUUGGAGUGCCGUGGUGCUAUCAUAGCUCACUGCAGCCUUGACUUCCCAGGCUCAACCCAUCCUCCCACCUCAGCCUCCUGAGUAGCUGGGACUACAGCGUACAGGCACAGACCACGAUACCUGACUUAUUUUUAAAUUUUUUGUAGAGAAGUUUCACCAUGUUGCCCAAGCUGGUCUCAAACUCCUGGGCUUAAGCAAACCUCCCACCUCAGCCUCCCAAAGUGAUGGGAUUACAGGCAGGAGACAUGGCAGCCAGCUAAGGCUCCCUGUACCCUGUUAGUCGGCUUUACAGCACCUGGAAUUGACCGCCACACGGAGCCUGGCGCUAAGGCCUGGCUGUGCCCAAUGGUUCUGCACGAAGACCCGGGCCGGCCUGUGGGGAGCUCAGCUGCAUAUGCGUCUGUGGCGCCCCCUGUGCCCUGCUCUUUGGGGACUGAGCAUAGCUGCCCCUCCCUCUCUCCCUUCUGCCCGCUCCUGGACAUUUCCGGAAGGCCCCAGGAAAUGGUGGCUGAUAGUGGUUCCUGAGGCCACACCACGGGCUGCCUGGUGCCCUUUCCCUCCCCAGUGCCCGGCUGGAGCAAGAAGCCGAGCUCCUGAUGGGAGCUGGCCCUUUCUUUAGACUUUGCUUCACCUUCAGGACAGGGGGUUCUGAAUUUCUGCGCUAGGGCCCCGCCGGCUUGGGUGGGCUUCCAGCGUGAAUCCUCGGCCUGUCGUCCCCGUCAUCAGGAAGCCCAACAGGGCGCCCGCCUGCCCUCUGUGUCCUCCCCGGGCUCGCGGCCGUGCACCUUCUGGUGCUGGAUGAGGGUGGACAGCCGGCUGCAGGCCCUCCCGCAGGCGCGGCACCGGUAUGGCCUCUCGCCGCUGUGGAGCCGGUAGUGCUCGUUCAGCGUGUAGCUCCUGCGGAACGCCUUGCCGCACUCGGUGCACGCGAAGGGCUUCUCCUUGGUGUGGAUCUUCUGGUGCAGAGUGAGGUUGGACUUGCGACCGAAGGCCUUGCCGCACUCCGCGCACUCGAACGGCUUCUCGCCCGUGUGUAGGCGCAGGUGCAGCAGCAGCAGGGAGUUGUGUCGGAACGGCCUCCCGCACACCGGGCACUCGUGGGGCGGGUCCCCCGCCUGGGGCCUCUGCGCAGCUCCGAGCAGGGCGCCCUGCCCCACGCCGCCGUCCUGGGCACCCUCCUGCGCGUGCAGCCGGUGGUGCUUCAGGAGCGAGGACCCUCGGAUGAAGCGCUGCCCACACCGCAGGCACCGGUAGGGCCGCUCCCCGCUGUGGAUGCGGCCGUGCUCGUUGAGGGUGAACCUGCGGCAGAACGCCUUGCCGCACUCUGUGCACGCGAAGGGCUUCUCCCCGGUGUGGAACUUCUGGUGCUGCAGCAGCCGGGAGCUGCGGCUGAAGGCCUUGCCGCACUCGCCGCAUGCGUAGGGCCGCUCGCGGGUGUGGACGCGGUGGUGGGCAGCCAGCUGCGUGCUCUGCCGGAAGGCCUUCCCGCACUCGCCGCGAGGCCGAGGCGGCGGAUCACAAGGUCAGGAGAUCGAGACCAUCCUCGCUAACAUGGUGAAACCUCGUCUCUAUUAAAAAUACAAAAAAAAAAAUUGGCUGGGCGUGGUGGUGGGCGUCUGUAGUCCCAGCUACUCGGGAGGCUGAGGCAGAAGAAUGGCGUGAACCCGGGAGGUGGAGCUUGCAGUGAGCCGAGAACGCGCCAGCCUGGGCCAAAGUGCGAGACUCCGUCUCAAAAAAAAAAAUAAUGGCCAGGCGCGGUGGCUCACGCCUGUAAUCCCAGCACUCUGGGAGGCCGAGGCGGUGGAUCACAAGGUCAGGAGAUCGAGACCAUCCUGGCUCACACGGUGAAACCUCGUCUCUACUAAAAAUACAAAAAAUUAGCCGGGCAUGGUGGCGGGCGCCUGUAGUCCCAGCUACUUGGGAGGCUGAGGCAGGAGAAUGGCGUGAACCCGGGAGGCGGAGCUUGCAGUGAGCUGAGAUCGCGCCACUGCUCUCCAGCCUGGGCGACAGAGCGAGACUCCAUCUCAAAAAUAAUAAUAAUAAUAAUCUCUGUUCUACAAUUAUAACCUAGGAAAAACCAGGCCAUACAGAGAUAGGAGCUGAAGGGACACAGUGAGAAGUGACCAGAAGACAAGAGUGUGAGCCUCUGUCACGCCCGGACAGGGCCACUAGAGGGCUCCUUGGUCUAGCGGUAACGCCAGUGCCUGGGAAGACGCCCGUUACUUAGUUGACCUUGGUCUAGCAGUAACCCCAGUGCCUGGGAAGGCACUAGUUACAUAGCAGACCUGGAAAGGGAGUCUUCCUUUCCCCAGGGUAGUUAGAGAAGACUCUGCUCCACCACCUCUUGUGGAAGGCCUGACAUCAGUCAAACUCGCCCACAGCCAUGCUGAGGCCUGACCGUCUCCCUGUGAUGCUGUGUUUCAGUGGUCAUGCUCCUGUUUCACUUUCAUGUUCCACCCUGUACACCUGGCUCUGCCUUCUAGACAGCAGUAACAGAAUUAGUGAAAGUACUAAAAGUCAUUAAAAUGCAUAGAAGAAAUAAUGGCGUAAGCUGUCCUGUCUCUCUCUCCGCCUCGGCUGUCAAACAGGGAAGGACCCCCUGUCCGGUGAACAUGUGACUCACAUGACCUUAUCAAUCAUUGGAAAUGACUCACACUCUUUACCCUGCCCCUUUCGCCUUGUAUCCAAUAAAUAACAGCGCAGCCAGGCAUUCAGGACCA
Molecule: long non-coding RNA, 3130 nt
Filed under: Homo sapiens (human)
Lineage: Eukaryota; Metazoa; Chordata; Mammalia; Primates; Hominidae
Description: HSALNT0145636
Source: RNAcentral